RNAcentral lists this ribosomal RNA (997 nucleotides) under uncultured bacterium. RNAcentral's name for it is "bacterial SSU rRNA". It matches the Rfam family "Bacterial small subunit ribosomal RNA", at positions 12 to 1019 of the family's 1533-position model. The record is from RNAcentral.
UUUGAUCCUGGCUCAGGAUGAACGCUAGCGGCGGGCCUAAUACAUGCAAGUCGAACGGGAUUGUUGGUAGCAAUACUGACAUGAGAGUGGCGCACGGGUGCGUAACACGUAUGUAACCUACCUUUAACUGGAGAAUAGCUCCGAGAAAUCGAAAUUAAUACUCCAUAAUAUAAAGAAAAGGCAUCUUUUUUUCAUCAAAGUUCCGACGGUUAUUGAUGGACAUGCGGUGCAUUAGCUUGUUGGUGAGGUAACGGCUCACCAAGGCUACGAUGCAUAGGGGGUCUGAGAGGAUGAUCCCCCACACUGGUACUGAGACACGGACCAGACUCCUACGGGAGGCAGCAGUAGGGAAUAUUGGGCAAUGGACGCAAGUCUGACCCAGCCACGCCGCGUGAAGGAUGACGGCCCUAUGGGUUGUAAACUUCUUUUGUAUGGGAAGAACCCCUUCUACGUGUAGAAGGCUGACGGUACCAUAAGAAUAAGCAUCGGCUAACUCCGUGCCAGCAGCCGCGGUAAUACGGAGGAUGCAAGCGUUGUCCGGAUUCAUUGGGUUUAAAGGGUGCGUAGGCGGAGAAUUAAGUCAGUGGUGAAAGCUUACAGCUUAACUGUAAAAAUGCCAUUGAAACUGAUUUUCUUGAGUUCGAUUGAGGUAGAUGGAAUGUAUCAUGUAGCGGUGAAAUGCUUAGAUAUGAUACAGAACACCAAUUGCGAAGGCAGUCUACUAAGUCGAUACUGACGCUGAGGCACGAAAGCAUGGGGAGCAAACAGGAUUAGAUACCCUGGUAGUCCGUGCCCUAAACGUUGAUUACUCGUUGUUGGCGAUACACUGUCAGCGACUAAGCGAAAGCGUUAAGUAAUCCACCUGGGGAGUACGAUCGCAAGUUGAACUCAAAGGAAUUUGACGGGGGCCGCACAAGCGUGGAGCAUGUGGUUUAAUCGAUGAUACGCGAAGACUACAGCUUGAAAGUAGUGACCGCUGCCGAAAGUGGCUUCCCCU